This 948-nucleotide non-coding RNA is filed under the name Embiotoca jacksoni (black perch). Its description in RNAcentral is "12S ribosomal RNA". It matches the Rfam family "Bacterial small subunit ribosomal RNA". Lineage: Eukaryota; Metazoa; Chordata; Actinopteri; Embiotocidae. The record is from RNAcentral.
CAAAGGUUUGGUCCUGACUUUACUGUCAACUUUAGCUAGAUUUACACAUGCAAGUAUCCGCACCCCCGUGAGAAUGCCCUAACAGUCUCCUACCCGGAGACAAGGAGCUGGUAUCAGGCACGGCCUAUGCCUAGCCCACGACACCUUGCUAAGCCACACCCCCAAGGGAAUUCAGCAGUGAUAUACAUUAAGCCAUAAGUGAAAACUUGACUUAGUUAAAGCUAAGAGGGCCGGUAAAACUCGUGCCAGCCACCGCGGUUAUACGAGCGACCCAAGUUGAGAGACAACGGCGUAAAGAGUGGUUAAGAUACUAACAAACUAAAGCCGAACGCCCUCAAGACUGUUAUACGUUUUUGAAGGUAAGAAGUUCUACCACGAAAGUGGCUUUAAUUAACCCUGACCCCACGAAAGCUGUGAAACAAACUGGGAUUAGAUACCCCACUAUGCCCAGCCAUAAACUUUGAUGGCCCAUUACAUACCCAUCCGCCCGGGGACUACGAGCACGAGCUUAAAACCCAAAGGACUUGGCGGUGCUUAAGAUCCACCUAGAGGAGCCUGUUCUAGAACCGAUAACCCCCGUUUAACCUCACCCUCCCUUGUUUUUACCGCCUAUAUACCGCCGUCGUCAGCUUACCCUGUGAAGGACUAAUAGUAAGCAGAAUUAGUACAACCCAAAACGCCAGGUCGAGGUGUAGCAUAUGAGAGGGGAAGAAAUGGGCUACAUUCCCUAACGCAGGGAAUACGAACAAUGCAUUGAAAUAUGUGUUAGAAGGAGGAUUUAGCAGUAAGCAGAAAAUAGAGCGUUCCGCUGAAACUGGCCCUGAAGCGCGCACACACCGCCCGUCACUCUCCCCAAGCCACCAGACUUAAAUAACUAAUCACCCAAACAGGCGAAGGGGAGGCAAGUCGUAACAUGGUAAGUGUACCGGAAGGUGCACUUGGAAAAAU